RNAcentral lists this ribosomal RNA (1463 nucleotides) under Shigella sonnei. RNAcentral's name for it is "bacterial LSU rRNA". It matches the Rfam family "Bacterial large subunit ribosomal RNA", at positions 1451 to 2894 of the family's 2925-position model. Lineage: Bacteria; Pseudomonadati; Pseudomonadota; Gammaproteobacteria; Enterobacterales; Enterobacteriaceae. The record is from RNAcentral.
UUACUGCGAAGGGGGGACGGAGAAGGCUAUGUUGGCCGGGCGACGGUUGUCCCGGUUUAAGCGUGUAGGCUGGUUUUCCAGGCAAAUCCGGAAAAUCAAGGCUGAGGCGUGAUGACGAGGCACUACGGUGCUGAAGCAACAAAUGCCCUGCUUCCAGGAAAAGCCUCUAAGCAUCAGGUAACAUCAAAUCGUACCCCAAACCGACACAGGUGGUCAGGUAGAGAAUACCAAGGCGCUUGAGAGAACUCGGGUGAAGGAACUAGGCAAAAUGGUGCCGUAACUUCGGGAGAAGGCACGCUGAUAUGUAGGUGAAGUCCCUUGCGGAUGGAGCUGAAAUCAGUCGAAGAUACCAGCUGGCUGCAACUGUUUAUUAAAAACACAGCACUGUGCAAACACGAAAGUGGACGUAUACGGUGUGACGCCUGCCCGGUGCCGGAAGGUUAAUUGAUGGGGUCAGCGCAAGCGAAGCUCUUGAUCGAAGCCCCGGUAAACGGCGGCCGUAACUAUAACGGUCCUAAGGUAGCGAAAUUCCUUGUCGGGUAAGUUCCGACCUGCACGAAUGGCGUAAUGAUGGCCAGGCUGUCUCCACCCGAGACUCAGUGAAAUUGAACUCGCUGUGAAGAUGCAGUGUACCCGCGGCAAGACGGAAAGACCCCGUGAACCUUUACUAUAGCUUGACACUGAACAUUGAGCCUUGAUGUGUAGGAUAGGUGGGAGGCUUUGAAGUGUGGACGCCAGUCUGCAUGGAGCCGGCCUUGAAAUACCACCCUUUAAUGUUUGAUGUUCUAACGUGGACCCGUGAUCCGGGUUGCGGACAGUGUCUGGUGGGUAGUUUGACUGGGGCGGUCUCCUCCUAAAGAGUAACGGAGGAGCACGAAGGUUGGCUAAUCCUGGUCGGACAUCAGGAGGUUAGUGCAAUGGCAUAAGCCAGCUUGACUGCGAGCGUGACGGCGCGAGCAGGUGCGAAAGCAGGUCAUAGUGAUCCGGUGGUUCUGAAUGGAAGGGCCAUCGCUCAACGGAUAAAAGGUACUCCGGGGAUAACAGGCUGAUACCGCCCAAGAGUUCAUAUCGACGGCGGUGUUUGGCACCUCGAUGUCGGCUCAUCACAUCCUGGGGCUGAAGUAGGUCCCAAGGGUAUGGCUGUUCGCCAUUUAAAGUGGUACGCGAGCUGGGUUUAGAACGUCGUGAGACAGUUCGGUCCCUAUCUGCCGUGGGCGCUGGAGAACUGAGGGGGGCUGCUCCUAGUACGAGAGGACCGGAGUGGACGCAUCACUGGUGUUCGGGUUGUCAUGCCAAUGGCACUGCCCGGUAGCUAAAUGCGGAAGAGAUAAGUGCUGAAAGCAUCUAAGCACGAAACUUGCCCCGAGAUGAGUUCUCCCUGACCCUUUAAGGGUCCUGAAGGAACGUUGAAGACGACGACGUUGAUAGGCCGGGUGUGUAAGCGCAGCGAUGCGUUGAGCUAA